This 258-nucleotide long non-coding RNA is filed under the name Lathyrus oleraceus (garden pea). Its description in RNAcentral is "Pisum sativum (pea) long non-coding RNA (PSAT_LNC023300)". The record is from RNAcentral. Lineage: Eukaryota; Viridiplantae; Streptophyta; Magnoliopsida; Fabales; Fabaceae.
CCAAACAAAUAAUUCAAUGGGUGGUGAUGUGGAUGAUGAUGAUAAUGUGGAUGAAACUAUGAAUGAUGAUGAAGAUGAUGAUGUUGAUUGAUUUUUUUAUUUUUAUUUUACUUUUAAAUAUUAAUUUUUGUAAAAUAUUCCUAAUUAUUUUGAAUUUCUAAUCAUCUUUAAUUGAAAUUCAUAUUUCUAAUUAAUAUUUGAAAACAUUCAUAUUUUAAAUUAUUAAUUGAAAUUAUUAUUUUUAAUUGUAAAAAAAUU